GUUCCAUCAAGAGCGACUGAGGGACAGGCCCUGUGACGUCGCAGCAACCUUCAAUAUUGAAAGGUGCUAAUUCCUACAGUAUGUAUGCUGGGAGAUGGGUU
This 101-nucleotide non-coding RNA is filed under the name Megasphaera cerevisiae. RNAcentral describes it as "SAM-I sequence". It matches the Rfam family "SAM riboswitch aptamer (S box leader)". Rfam says of the family: The SAM riboswitch is found upstream of a number of genes which code for proteins involved in methionine or cysteine biosynthesis in Gram-positive bacteria. Lineage: Bacteria; Bacillati; Bacillota; Negativicutes; Veillonellales; Veillonellaceae. RNAcentral also lists the same sequence under 1 other name. The record is from RNAcentral.